CGCUCUUUGUAAACUGAACAUAGAGAGUCGGGCCUGCCCAGUGACGAGAGUGUUAAACGGCCGCGGUACCCUGACCGUGCAAAGGUAGCAUAAUCAUUUGCCUUUUAAUUGGAGGCUUGUAUGAAUGGUUUGACGAGAGCUAAGCUGUCUCUUUCUAAAUUUUUAGAAAUUAAUUUCUAGAUGAAGAAGUCUAGAUUUAAUUGAGGGACAAGAAGACCCUAUUGAGCUUGAGUGAAAUAAUAAAUUUUUUAAAUUUUAUUUUUUAAAGUAAGAUUUCUAUGUUUCGUGAUAGCGAAAAUUAAAUUUAUGGAUAAUCUUUAGUUGGGGCGACUCAGGAACAAUUAAAGCUUCCUUGUAUUUUUAUGGGCAUUCUAGCUAAAUUAGGAUCCAGCAAAUUGCUGAUUAACGGAAAAAGUUACCAUAGGGAUAACAGCGUAAUCUUUCUGGAGAGCUCUUAUCGAAAGAAGGGUUUGCGACCUCGAUGUUGGACUAAGAUAUCCUGGGGGUGGAGAGGCUUCCAAGGUUGGUCUGUUCGACCAUUAAAAUCUU
RNAcentral lists this ribosomal RNA (549 nucleotides) under Tectus tentorium. Its description in RNAcentral is "partial 16S ribosomal RNA". It matches the Rfam family "Bacterial large subunit ribosomal RNA", at positions 1817 to 2597 of the family's 2925-position model. The record is from RNAcentral. Lineage: Eukaryota; Metazoa; Mollusca; Gastropoda; Trochida; Tegulidae.